GUGCUUGCUUCGGCAGCACAUAUACAAAAAUUGGAAUGAUACAGAAAUUACCAUGGCCCCUGCCCAAGGAUCACAUGCAAAUUCAUGAAGCUUUCCAUAUUUGU
This 104-nucleotide small nuclear RNA is filed under the name Aotus nancymaae (Ma's night monkey). Lineage: Eukaryota; Metazoa; Chordata; Mammalia; Primates; Aotidae. The record is from RNAcentral.